RNAcentral lists this long non-coding RNA (860 nucleotides) under Olea europaea (common olive). RNAcentral's name for it is "long non-coding RNA (OEUR_LNC004450)". Lineage: Eukaryota; Viridiplantae; Streptophyta; Magnoliopsida; Lamiales; Oleaceae. The record is from RNAcentral.
UCUGUCGGAAUGGUAAUCCUCUUUUAUAAUGGGGUUCAAUCUCUUUACUAGGAUCUCCUUUGUAAAUUUAAGUAUUGAAUCUGUUUGUUGGCGAAUUUUGCCAGGGCCAAAUCAAGACCCGUGCUCUGUGCAGGUCAGAACGUCUUGCAAAGUACAACCCGGUAAAACAUUGACUUUGUGAAGGCGUCAAUUAUCUCAAUCAAAUUAUGAGCCAUUCUGAUCUAAUGGUCCUUUAUUAACUCUAGCUUUGAAGCAGAACUUGGAUCAGAGGCUGUAUGUGCAGGAGCAAGCUUCUGAGCACCUGUUGAGCCCUAUUAGAUUCGAUCAAUUCCGAGGCUGAAGACCAGCAGUAUGGAGCCUCACUUUAGGCAAAUAAAUGUCUACCGGCCUGCUUCUGAAUAACCACAAAAGUUUUGGAAUCAUAUUUAGCGAGUGCUGAACUAAGAAACGGUUUACAGGCGGAACAUCGAUCUUUCUAUUAGUGAAAUUUCAAUCUUGUGAAUCUAUUGUUAAUGAUUUCAUAGUUGCAAGUUAGUGUUUGUCUGUCUUCUGUAAUAUUAGAAGACAUUUGUUUUUUAUUUUGUCUAAGAUUUUAUGGGUGCGGGUGCAGGUGAGGUGCGAUCAAAUCGAUUCUGUAUAUCGUUAUUUUAUUACAUAUUAAGGGUGGAUAGUCUACUUCGAUAAAUUUGGUAUGGAAGAAAGAGCGCUAAACUAUAUCAAAUCAGGCUAUUAGAUCCUAUCCGUGAUAAUCAGACACCUAUUUCUACAUGGGCCUAUCCUCCACUACUCAACUUUGCUCCGUUCGCUACCUCCUUUCUUAAUUUGUUUUAAUUUGAUUUCUUUUUAUUUUUUGUCCCAAG